RNAcentral lists this non-coding RNA (261 nucleotides) under Paenibacillus sp. RNAcentral describes it as "T-box sequence". It matches the Rfam family "T-box leader". From Rfam's summary of the family: Uncharged tRNA acts as the effector for transcription antitermination of genes in the T-box leader family. T-boxes are found upstream of many aminoacyl-tRNA synthetase genes and some amino acid biosynthetic genes usually in Gram-positive bacteria. Lineage: Bacteria; Bacillati; Bacillota; Bacilli; Caryophanales; Paenibacillaceae. The record is from RNAcentral.
UCAAUAACCUUGAACGGGAAUAGUAGACAAUAUCGUCCUCAAGAGAGUAGAACUGCUGCGCUGAAAGGUUCUAUAGGAUACGGUAUAUCGAAGUCGCCUGGGAGUUGUUUAUUUGAAUAUAAAGUGGAGGAUUAUUCUAACACUAUAUAUAGAAUAGACCGGUAGCAGCCGUUAUCUGCCUCGGAGUGUCGUUUAUGGGCUUUUUUAUACAUGGGCGAAACAAAGGUGGUACCGCGAGAGCUAAGUCCUUUCGUCCUUUGA